GCGACACUCAAUCUACUGUCAAAUAUGAUAGCAGCGCGCGCUUUGCCCCAAGCCGAAGGGCGCGUGGUCACCACCUAUAACCAACCUCUAACUGGUGCCUACAUUCCUUUUGCCAAUGAAGAUUUCAAAAUGCCAAAAAAUAACAUGGCUUUAAUAUUAUGGCAAAAAAUGAUUAUUUUGUACGUUUUAACAGGCUUAUGUUUUCUAUUAAUAUUGCCAUGUAAAGAACAAGAUAGCGGGGCUCGUCUCACCCACAUACUAGCUGGCUGCCCGCCCGAGUUGCACUGGGCUGCUAUGCUGUUCACAGCGCUUCUCCACGUCCUUCUGUAUGUAAUUAUCAUUGUCAUCGCUUGCGCAUUCUUGGACUUCGACAAAACAAUAUCGGACAUCAAGUUUAUACUCCCUGCUUCUUUGGUUGUACUACUUGGUAGUGUAGCGAGCCUUGUAUAUCUAUAUGACUUUACAUUGACGUCCUCCGAACGUAUGACUUUAGUGAUCGCAGCAAUUCUGGCGGUCAUUGGCGUGUUUGUCAUCCCCUUGCUUUGUGCGAGGUGGUUUAAAUCUCCGCGUAUAGUUUUGAUAUUUGAGAUUAUUCUUCCUCAAUUCGCGUUCACACAGGCUUUGGCCGACUGUACAAACACAGCUUAUGUGAAUGCUCUUUGCAAAUUGAACAAGGACAAAUGCCCUUUCACUGAUGUCCUAAGUCCACAUUUCAAAGACGGCAAGU
Long non-coding RNA from Ostrinia nubilalis (European corn borer), 727 nucleotides. RefSeq lists it as uncharacterized. The record is from RefSeq and is a predicted model, not a curated record. NCBI's taxonomy places the organism in Eukaryota, Metazoa, Arthropoda, Insecta, Lepidoptera, Crambidae. The transcript has 4 exons.